CUCGUAGGCGGUUCGUCGCGUCCGACGUGAAAGUCCAUCGCUUAACGGUGGAUCCGCGCCGGGUACGGGCGGGCUUGAGUGCGGUAGGGGAGACUGGAAUUCCCGGUGUAACGGUGGAAUGUGUAGAUAUCGGGAAGAACACCAAUGGCGAAGGCAGGUCUCUGGGCCGUUACUGACGCUGAGGAGCGAAAGCGUGGGGAGCGAACA
RNAcentral lists this ribosomal RNA (207 nucleotides) under uncultured bacterium. Its description in RNAcentral is "partial 16S ribosomal RNA". It matches the Rfam family "Bacterial small subunit ribosomal RNA", at positions 568 to 774 of the family's 1533-position model. The record is from RNAcentral.